GCCUGAUCUAGCCAUGCCGCGUGUGUGAUGAAGGCCUUAGGGUCGUAAAGCACUUUCGCCAGAGAUGAUAAUGACAGUAUCUGGUAAAGAAACCCCGGCUAACUCCGUGCCAGCAGCCGCGGUAAUA
Molecule: ribosomal RNA, 127 nt
Filed under: uncultured Sulfitobacter sp.
Lineage: Bacteria; Pseudomonadati; Pseudomonadota; Alphaproteobacteria; Rhodobacterales; Roseobacteraceae
Description: partial 16S ribosomal RNA
Rfam family: Bacterial small subunit ribosomal RNA
Source: RNAcentral